Molecule: ribosomal RNA, 1248 nt
Filed under: metagenome
Description: bacterial LSU rRNA
Rfam family: Bacterial large subunit ribosomal RNA
Source: RNAcentral
UAUACGACCGUACCGCAAACCGACACUGGUGCGCGAGAUGAGUAUUCUAAGGCGCUUGAGAGAACUCAGGAGAAGGAACUCGGCAAAUUGACACCGUAACUUCGGAAGAAGGUGUGCCCUAUUAGUGUGUAGUGAACAACGAAGCAUGAAUGGGUUGCAAAAAAUCGGUGGCUGCGACUGUUUAUUAAAAACACAGCACUCUGCAAACACGAAAGUGGACGUAUAGGGUGUGACGCCUGCCCGGUGCUGGAAGAUUAAAUGAUGGGGUGCAAGCUCUUGAUUGAAGUCCCAGUAAACGGCGGCCGUAACGAUAACGGUCCUAAGGUAGCGAAAUUCCUUGUCGGGUAAGUUCCGACCUGCACGAAUGGCGUAACGAUGGCCACACUGUCUCCUCCUGAGACUUAGCGAAGUUGAAAUGUUUGUGAUGAUGCAAUCUCCCCGCGGAAAGACGGAAAGACCCCAUGAACCUUUACUGUAGCUUUGUAUUGGACUUUGAACAGAUCUGUGUAGGAUAGGUGGGAGGCUUUGAAGCAGGGUCGCUAGAUCUUGUGGAGCCAACGUUGAAAUACCACCCUGGUGUGUUUGAGGUUCUAACCUAGGUCCAUUAUCUGGAUCGGGGACAGUGCAUGGUAGGCAGUUUGACUGGGGCGGUCUCCUCCCAAAGCGUAACGGAGGAGUUCGAAGGUACGCUAGUUACGGUCGGACAUCGUGACGAUAGUGCAAUGGCAUAAGCGUGCUUAACUGCGAGACUGACAAGUCGAGCAGAUGCGAAAGCAGGACAUAGUGAUCCGGUGGUUCUGUAUGGAAGGGCCAUCGCUCAACGGAUAAAAGGUACUCUGGGGAUAACAGGCUGAUACCGCCCAAGAGUUCAUAUCGACGGCGGUGUUUGGCACCUCGAUGUCGGCUCAUCUCAUCCUGGGGCUGUAGCCGGUCCCAAGGGUAUGGCUGUUCGCCAUUUAAAGAGGUACGUGAGCUGGGUUUAAAACGUCGUGAGACAGUUUGGUCCCUAUCUUCCGUGGGCGCUGCAGUUUUGAGGAAGCCUGCUCCUAGUACGAGAGGACCGGAGUGGACACACCUCUGGUGUAUCGGUUGUCACGCCAGUGGCAUUGCCGAGUAGCUAAGUGUGGAAGAGAUAACCGCUGAAAGCAUCUAAGCGGGAAACUCGUUUCAAGAUGAGAUCUGCCGGGGCCUUGAGCCCCCUAAAGAGUCGUUCAAGACCAGGACGUUGAUAGGUCAGGUGUGGAAGUG